Molecule: ribosomal RNA, 253 nt
Filed under: uncultured bacterium
Lineage: Bacteria
Description: partial 16S ribosomal RNA
Rfam family: Bacterial small subunit ribosomal RNA
Source: RNAcentral
UACGUAGGGUGCAAGCGUUAAUCGGAAUUACUGGGCGUAAAGCGUGCGCAGGCGGUUCGGAAAGAAGGAUGUGAAAUCCCAGGGCUUAACCUUGGAACUGCAUUUUUAACUACCGGACUAGAGUGUGUCAGAGGGAGGUGGAAUUCCGCGUGUAGCAGUGAAAUGCGUAGAGAUGCGGAGGAACACCGAUGGCGAAGGCAGCCUCCUGGGAUAACACUGACGCUCAGGCACGAAAGCGUGGGGAGCAAACAGG